AGUGUCAAGGGAUGGGAAUCGAACCCACGACCUUCCGCUUACCGGGCAGAUGCUAUGACCACUAGGCCACACGACC
Molecule: transfer RNA, 76 nt
Filed under: Cordylochernes scorpioides
Lineage: Eukaryota; Metazoa; Arthropoda; Arachnida; Pseudoscorpiones; Chernetidae
Description: tRNA-Thr
Source: RNAcentral